Molecule: ribosomal RNA, 915 nt
Filed under: Triticum aestivum (bread wheat)
Lineage: Eukaryota; Viridiplantae; Streptophyta; Magnoliopsida; Poales; Poaceae
Description: partial small subunit ribosomal RNA
Source: RNAcentral
AUGCAGGUCAAACGGUUUCCGCUGGAGCUCUCCAGCACCGGCCUCGGCUUCGACCCGGCCACCGGCGAGCACAAAGUGGUGAGGCUCUUAAGGAACAUGUUCGCGCAGCAGAAGUGUGAGGUGUGCCCCCUGACGCCAUUAGGCGUGGGGCGGUGGAGGCCCUGCGCCGGUGGCAACGCGCCGCCAAAAUUCGCGUGCCACGUCGACGGCAGGCCUCCCGUGGCCCUCGACGGGUCCCUCUACUGGCUGCUGCACCGCCGGAGCCUCGCCGACGACGGCAGCGCCAGGGACCCGCAGCACGACGCGCCCAUCCUGUCGCUCUCCGUCGGCGCCGAGCGGUUCGGGUGGGUGCGCACGCCGCCGCGGCUGGCGUCACGCAUUCGGCACCUCACCGACCUCGACGGCUCGCUCUGCGCCGUAGUCCACGACAAGCUCAUCGACGACGUGCUCCUGCUCGUCACGUGGAGUCCGUCGUCCCCAUCGUGGACGGCGGGCUGCCGCGUCGACGUGGGCAGCCUGCCCCGGCCGAUCCGCGACGAGCUCAGCGGGGAGCGGGAGAUCAUCCCGCUCUGCGGCGUGAAGAAGAAGAUCCUGCUGGCGACGAGCCGGCACAAGGUGUACGCCUACGACACGGAGCAAGGCGCCGCCGAGGAGGUGUUCGACAUGAACUGCUUUGUCGACGUGCCGCUACACAACAGCGAGUCUCGGCUGUUCUUCAACAUUGGCCUCCACGAGGAACGCAUCACCGGCGUGGGCCCGAAGGUGGCGGGUGACAACUGGCUACAGGUGAAGCGGGGACGAGGCGUGGUGCUCGGCAAGCGGGAGGCGUCGUCGGUGUGCCCGGAACAUCGCGAGCAGGACCAGGAUUUUCACAGGACGAAGGAGGCGAUCAUGCAGCUUGCAUUCCCAGCGUAG